UCCCCAAAAGUGAAACGAAUGCGGAGAGAAGCAAGAGUUGGGGAAGAGAAACUGAGUGGGGAGAAAGCACGCCCGGCUGAGGAUCAGCAAAAGCAGACCCCGCUAGAGGCACGAGUGAAACAACACGAACGACCACAGCGCUGUGCCGGCCCAUCCUUCAGCAGCCCACGCACUGCCAGAGGAGUAUCCCCGGCUGAAUCUUGGCCGCCGCUUAAUGUGAGGCCAAAGCCCGCGGAACCGCGAACCAGUUCCACAUAGAACCGUCCAGAGGCCUGGAGCGGCUUCGAAGCAGAACGUGCCUUAUUCUGGGUCACUUGGGGCGGUGCGGUACCUGUACCCAAGGUCUCUGACCGGUGAUGCUGGAGUAAAGACACAAGUGUACAUACA
Long non-coding RNA from Prionailurus viverrinus (fishing cat), 387 nucleotides. RefSeq lists it as uncharacterized. The transcript has 2 exons. The record is from RefSeq and is a predicted model, not a curated record. Lineage: Eukaryota; Metazoa; Chordata; Mammalia; Carnivora; Felidae.